RNAcentral lists this ribosomal RNA (399 nucleotides) under Triticum aestivum (bread wheat). RNAcentral describes it as "partial small subunit ribosomal RNA". The record is from RNAcentral. Lineage: Eukaryota; Viridiplantae; Streptophyta; Magnoliopsida; Poales; Poaceae.
AUGCAGGUUCUUACAGAGAAGAAUACUGUACUGUCCCAGGAGCUGGAAAAGUGCAAGGCCCAACUAGAGGCCGCACUAGCCACAGCAGGGGAGUCCAAAGAGACCCCCUCAGGUAAGAUACACUUCGAAAGAUUAGUAUUGUGCGGUGUGGGUGCAAAUUUGACGGAUCAUAUUGCAGAUGGCGCCGGACUCGAUCCGGACAAGCAACAACUCUUACGCCAGCUAAAGGCCGGUGAGAGGAUGUUGACAAAGGUGAGGCGAGAGAAGAAUGAUCUUCAGGAUGCCAACACCAAGCUGGACGUCGAACUUAAAGAUGUUCGUGGCCAGCUGUCAGACUCCACGAAGGAGAAUCAGCAGCUUCGACGCGGCAUUUUUAGUAAGUGCUUGAACGAACUUUGA